RNAcentral lists this long non-coding RNA (207 nucleotides) under Nicotiana benthamiana. RNAcentral describes it as "long non-coding RNA (NBEN_LNC029413)". Lineage: Eukaryota; Viridiplantae; Streptophyta; Magnoliopsida; Solanales; Solanaceae. The record is from RNAcentral.
ACCGACUCCACAUAGCACAUAGCAAAUAUUAUCCUAAUCCUAUUCUCUCAAGCCAAAGUUAGAUCAAACACUUACCUCGAAUCCGAAAAUAGCCACUCAAAGCUCAACAAUCGGCUUUCCUCUAGAAUCAACCUGGAGCCAACGAUAUCUAAUAUAAAUCGAUUCAAUAUUAUCAAUAAUAGCACAAGGAUACAAUUUCCUAGCUUA